RNAcentral lists this long non-coding RNA (323 nucleotides) under Medicago truncatula (barrel medic). Its description in RNAcentral is "long non-coding RNA (MTRU_LNC004181)". Lineage: Eukaryota; Viridiplantae; Streptophyta; Magnoliopsida; Fabales; Fabaceae. The record is from RNAcentral.
CAACUAUACCAUCAAUUGUACCACAAACAAUAAACGUAUCACUCACUCUAACUUCCUUCAAUUCUGCAAUAGACUUCUUUAGAUGGAGAUGCAAGAAAUCUUCAUCUAUCGAUGGUUUACCCCUUGGACCAAUAAGCGGCACAGUGGGCUACUUUCGAUUGAAUUAACAUCCAAACUGAUACAAUAUGCAGAUAUUGAGGCGUAAACAAACGCAACACAUACAUAUUUAAUUAAUGUGUAUCAGAAUCUGAACAUAUAUUAAAAAUCACGACAAUCCAAAUAAAAUAACUAACCCUUAAAUUCAGCAGCCUCUGAUAUAUCCG